CGUAUAUUAAAGUUGUUGCAGUUAAAAAGCUCGUAGUUGGAUUUGUGGCAGUGCUCGAGUGCCUUUUUUGGACGCUCUGAGCACAGCCAUCCUUGGGAGGAAUUCGUGUGGCAUUAGGUUGUUGCAUGGGGGAUACUCAACAUUUACUGUGAAAAAAUCAGCGCGUUCAAAGCAAGCUUGUGCUCUUGAAUGUAUUAGCAUGGAAUAAUAAGAUAGGACUUUAGUACUAUUUUGUUGGUUUGCGUAUUAAGGUAAUGAUUAAUAGGGAUAGUUGGGGG
This 278-nucleotide ribosomal RNA is filed under the name uncultured diatom. RNAcentral's name for it is "partial 18S ribosomal RNA". It matches the Rfam family "Eukaryotic small subunit ribosomal RNA", at positions 598 to 888 of the family's 1831-position model. Lineage: Eukaryota; Bacillariophyta. The record is from RNAcentral.